GGCUGUGUGGUCUAGUGGUAUGAUUCUCGCUUUGGGUGCGUGAGAUCUCGAGUUCGAUUCUCCAAUCAGCCC
Molecule: non-coding RNA, 72 nt
Organism: Perkinsus olseni
Lineage: Eukaryota; Perkinsozoa; Perkinsida; Perkinsidae
Source: the annotation of a GenBank genome assembly